RNAcentral lists this ribosomal RNA (503 nucleotides) under uncultured bacterium. Its description in RNAcentral is "partial 16S ribosomal RNA". It matches the Rfam family "Bacterial small subunit ribosomal RNA", at positions 899 to 1397 of the family's 1533-position model. The record is from RNAcentral.
ACUCAAAGGAAUAGACGGGGGCCCGCACAAGCGGUGGAGCAUGUUGUUUAAUACGUCACUAACCGUAGAACCUUACCAGGGCUUGACAUCUGACGACCGCUCAUGAAAGUGAGUUUUCCUCGCAAGAGGACGUCAAGACAGGUGUUGCAUGGCUGUCGUCAGCUCGUGUCGUGAGAUGUUGGGUUAAGUCCCGCAACGAGCGCAACCCUCACCCCAUGUUGCCAUCGGGUCAUGCCGGGAACUCUUGGGGAACUGCCUGGGUAACCGGGAGGAAGGUGAGGAUGACGUCAAGUCAGCAUGGCCCUUACGCCCUGGGCUACAAACAUGCUACAAUGGACGGCAGACAGAGGGAUCCGAGACCGCGAGGUGGAGGCAAUCUCAAAAAUCCGUUCCCAGUUCAGAUCGCAGUCUGCAACUCGACUGCGUGAAGUCGGAAUCGCUAGUAACCGCAGAUCAGAUAAGCUGCGGUGAAUACGUUCCCGGGCCUUGUACACACCGCCCGU